RNAcentral lists this transfer RNA (73 nucleotides) under Ignatius tetrasporus. RNAcentral's name for it is "tRNA-Glu". It matches the Rfam family "tRNA". Rfam says of the family: Transfer RNA (tRNA) molecules are approximately 80 nucleotides in length. Their secondary structure includes four short double-helical elements and three loops (D, anti-codon, and T loops). Lineage: Eukaryota; Viridiplantae; Chlorophyta; Ulvophyceae; Ignatiales; Ignatiaceae. RNAcentral also lists the same sequence under 1 other name. The record is from RNAcentral.
GCCCCCAUCGUCUAGAGGCCUAGGACAUUUCUCUUUCACGGAAGGAACGGGGGUUCGAAUCCCCCUGGGGGUA